RNAcentral lists this ribosomal RNA (544 nucleotides) under uncultured bacterium. RNAcentral's name for it is "partial 16S ribosomal RNA". It matches the Rfam family "Bacterial small subunit ribosomal RNA", at positions 355 to 889 of the family's 1533-position model. The record is from RNAcentral.
UGGGGAAUUUUGGACAAUGGGCGAAAGCCUGAUCCAGCAAUGCCGCGUGUGUGAAGAAGGCCUUCGGGUUGUAAAGCACUUUUGUCCGGAAAGAAAUCCUUGGCUCUAAUACAGUCGGGGGAUGACGGUACCGGAAGAAUAAGCACCGGCUAACUACGUGCCAGCAGCCGCGGUAAUACGUAGGGUGCAAGCGUUAAUCGGAAUUACUGGGCGUAAAGCGUGCGCAGGCGGUUUGCUAAGACCGAUGUGAAAUCCCCGGGCUCAACCUGGGAACUGCAUUGGUGACUGGCAGGCUGGAGUAUGGCAGAGGGGGGUAGAAUUCCACGUGUAGCAGUGAAAUGCGUAGAGAUGUGGAGGAAUACCGAUGGCGAAGGCAGCCCCCUGGGCCAAUACUGACGCUCAUGCACGAAAAGGCGUGGGGGAGCAAAUCAGGAUUAGAUACCCUGGUAGUCCACGCCCUAAACGAUGUCAACUAGUUGUGGGGAUUCAUUUCCUUAGUAACGUAGCUAACGCGUGAAGUUGACCGCCUGGGGAGUACGGUCGC